RNAcentral lists this transfer RNA (76 nucleotides) under marine sediment metagenome. RNAcentral's name for it is "tRNA-Gln". It matches the Rfam family "tRNA". Rfam says of the family: Transfer RNA (tRNA) molecules are approximately 80 nucleotides in length. The record is from RNAcentral.
UCCGGAGUAGCUCAAAUGGAAGAGCAUCAGACUCUGAAUCUGAAGGUUGAAGGUUCGAUUCCUUCCUCCGGAUCCA